CCGGAUUUUGCCGCGGCGUAGAUUCAGUGAUAAUUGUGGAAAGUUAUUAGUUUCACUGUAAAUUGGGUGGGGUUAUCGAUAAAUUUUGAUAUUGGACCUAGAUCUUUACCGUAAUUCCUCUUGGUUCUAGGUUGAUCAACGGCAUGCCGGAAUUUGUUCGUGUCGGGGGCACAACUGAGAGCUGUAUGAAUCGCCGCGCUUCCCCGGUCGGCGGUGGUAUCGGCUGCAUCCAUGGCGUGAGACUCAACGACUUCCUUGAUCGGUCUUCUAUGGUAACAUUAGCACGCUGCCGCAUUUACUCACUGAUCAAUAAGGUAUCAAUCAGCCCGCCUGGUUAUCAGUAACUUGACCGGACUCAUGCGUUAAAAAGCUAUCAGUUUUUUUUUCAAGGGCUUAAUUUAGUGAGAUACCGGGAUACAACCGAGUUUCGCGUCGAUAUCAUUAUGAGAGACUCUGUUAUCGUUAGGCGAAGUCAGCACGCAUAACGUGUACCACCGCUGCGACCUCUCACGGCAGGCCUGGGAACCAGAGUUUAUUCUAACUGACACCAGGCGGCACGCAAGUGCAGUCUGUGUGGCGGCGCUGGCCGGAACGCACAAUGCCGACGUUAGAGAUGUAGGUGGCGCUGGCAGAGUGUCGUUCUGACCAGGGGUCGCCGCAGGUGGCCGAAAAUAUGAUAUCAUUCCUUAGUGCUAAUGGAGUCCAAUCACCCCCUUUUUUUCGUGUUCCCGUUCGAUCCCUGGACAAUGUGAGGAUUAAGGUCUUGGCUGGGCCCGGCCGGGUUCAAACGAUAUUCCUUACUCAUUCACAGUUAUACUCCGGCCCUGAAACCUCUUAAACAAAAAAAAAAAAAAAAAAAAUCACUUCAUUUUUCUAAACAAUGGUUCUUAGCUGAAUGAGAAACGCCCAUAAUUUCAGGUCUCCCCCCCCUCUUACCGACCGCGCCAUCCAUCCCCUUUUCGAUAUCUUCCCAAAUCCACUUGUCCGGCGGACCGCCCCUCUCCCGAAUUCCAUUAGGAUAAAAAGAACCGUUUGAUCGAUUCAGGUAUAUUUGACGGCCGAAUUCAGUUCCAUUGCAUUUAUUAAUAACACACAAGUAUAUACAACAAAAAAAUUAAUAGCGUCACCACAAUAUCAAUCGGGGGUUUGUCCUGGGUUUUAGUCUUCGGAAUCACUGUCGGCGGUCAUUUCUCGGGCGAGCCGGGCUAGACGAGCCGCCGUCCGUGCAGCCUUCCUCCAAGAUUUCCGGGCUUCCUUUUCUGCCGCCUCGGCCUCUCGUAGCUGGGCCUCGGCGGCUCGUACUGCGUCGCGGGCCCGCUCCAGAUCGCGGCGGGCGAGAAUCCGGGCAAUCCCGCACUGGCGUGCGGCUCGAUGGGCGGCGAGAGCAGCGGCCGCCGCGUGAUGAGCUGCCUCACUAGCUUCUAGCCCGGUAAACUCCGGCUCAGCCUGGGCUUCUUCGGGCUGAAAUAGCUCGGCUAGGAGCUGGGCUGCCUCGUCGUUCGCCAUGCGACUCCUCGCCGCCGAGGUGGAUAUCGGUGAAUGUCACGGCCACGGUCGGUCAUGGCCUCCUUCCAUUUCCCCCUUCACUCGCACCGAGGUGUUAAUGGCUCCCUCGCCCGGGGGCUUGGCAUCCCUUUGGGCGGGUCCGAGGGGACUAGGCCCGAUAGAUCUAUUCAUUCCGUAUCGAGACGUCACUCAGAGAACAUGCCGCUAAGGAGCCCGCCCCUCACACCGGCAUCCCCGUCGCCGGAGCCGUGGUCGCCGUCGAGCGAUAUGUCCUCGGCGACAGCGGGGUCGUUACCCCGCUACACGCCAGAGCCGCCACUCCCGGAUCCUCGGGACGUGCAGAUCGAAGAGUUGCGGCGCCAAAUUACCAACUUGGAGACAGCUCUGCAGAUCAAGGAGGAGUCUGCCAAGAAAGAAGUAGCCCGGCUGCGGCUGGACUUGCUGCGGAUGCGGCAGAUAAUGCUUCACGUCGCCGCCGACAUCACCAACCCCCGGCCGGGGGUUCGGCCCCUCCUCCGCUGGGCGGUGCUGGGCGGCAUCUGCCCGCCCGGGUCGUUGUCGGGGGAGUUUUAGCCCGCCCCGAGCACCGGCCCGGCGGGCGGAUUUUUUUUCCGAUGGUCUUUUUGCUAAAAUUGUCUUCACUGAUUGAUUCAAUAAACACCCACGCGGCCCCC
This 2180-nucleotide unclassified non-coding RNA is filed under the name Amphibalanus amphitrite. Its description in RNAcentral is "uncharacterized LOC122367162, transcript variant X5". The record is from RNAcentral. Lineage: Eukaryota; Metazoa; Arthropoda; Thecostraca; Balanomorpha; Balanidae.